Ipomoea nil (Japanese morning glory) is the source of this 347-nucleotide long non-coding RNA. RefSeq lists it as uncharacterized. The transcript is spliced from 2 exons. Lineage: Eukaryota; Viridiplantae; Streptophyta; Magnoliopsida; Solanales; Convolvulaceae. The record is from RefSeq and is a predicted model, not a curated record.
UUUUUCUUUCAAAACUCUUCACUUCAAAUUGUAUGCUUCCUAUGUGAUUAGAAUAUAUAGUACAUAUGCACUCACUAGAUAGGAACUCACAUAUUAAAGAGUGAGUUACUCCUUAUUUUAGAGUUUCCAUGCUCCAUAUUAGUUGUAACAUCAAACAGUUUUUUGUUGUUAUGUUUUCCCAUCACAGGGAAAAACACAAAAUAAAAGAACAAAGAAUAGAAAAGGAAAAGAGAACGUUUGGUUUGCUUGAGACCCAAAACUCCCUUAGUCAGUUAGUCCCUUAUUUUAGGAUUAAAUUUCUGCUUGUCCAUUCUUCCAAAUAACACUCCCUUUUAUAGGGUUGAUUA